AUACGUAGGGUGCAAGCGUUGUCCGGAUUUAUUGGGCGUAAAGAGCUCGUAGGCGGUUAGUCACGUCGGAUGUGAAAACCCGGAGCUUAACUCCGGGCCUGCAUUCGAUACGGGCUGACUAGAGUGUUGUAGGGGAGACUGGAACUCCUGGUGUAGCGGUGAAAUGCGCAGAUAUCAGGAAGAACACCGGUGGCGAAGGCGGGUCUCUGGGCAACUACUGACGCUGAGGAGCGAAAGCGUGGGGAGCAAACAGAAUUAGAUACCCUGGUAGUCCACGCCGUAAACGGUGGGCGCUAGGUGUGGGGAACAUUCCACGUUCUCCGUGCCGCAGCUAACGCAUUAAGCGCCCCGCCUGGGGAGUACGGCCGCAAGGCUAAA
RNAcentral lists this ribosomal RNA (378 nucleotides) under uncultured bacterium. RNAcentral describes it as "bacterial SSU rRNA". It matches the Rfam family "Bacterial small subunit ribosomal RNA", at positions 523 to 898 of the family's 1533-position model. The record is from RNAcentral.